UUUAUAUUGGAGUAGUAGUAGAUAUGAUCUUGAAACUCAAAGAAUUUGGCGGUAUUUUAGACUGUUCAGAGGAAUCUGUAUUGUAAUUGAUAAUCCACGAUGGACCUUACUUAAAUUUGUUUUUCAGUUUGUAUACCGCCGUUAUUUGAAAAUUUUAUAAGAAUUAUUAAUUUUCAUAGCUUUUAAUUAAAAAGUAAAUCAGGUCAAGGUGCAGCUUAUAUUUAAGUAUUUAUGGAUUACAAUAAAUUUAUUUAAACGGAUUGGAGCAUGAAAUUUAGUUUUAUGAAGGUGGAUUUGAAAGUAAAUUUUUAAAGAUUAAAAUAUUGAUUUUAGCUCUAAAAUAUGUACAUAUCGCCCGUCGCUCUUGUUAAUAAUAUAAGAUAAGUCGUAACAUAGUAGAUGUACCGGAAGGUGUAUCUAGAAUGACAAUUUAAAGCUUAAUAAGGAAAGUAUUUCAUUUACACUGAAAGGAUUGUUGUGCGAAUCAAUAUAAAUUGAUAGUAUUUAAUUAUUAAUUUUAUUUUUUUUUGUUAUAUUUAUUAGAAAUAACUAUAUCGUUAUUUGUGUUAUAGUAUUUUAUAAAGAAGUAAUUUUAUUAAUAAUAGUUUAUUAUGUAAUUUGAAUGAAUUUUGAAAUAGUUGAAAAAUAUAUAUUUAUAA
Molecule: ribosomal RNA, 659 nt
Filed under: Thinophilus sp. 8 SNK-2009
Lineage: Eukaryota; Metazoa; Arthropoda; Insecta; Diptera; Dolichopodidae
Description: partial 12S ribosomal RNA
Rfam family: Microsporidia small subunit ribosomal RNA (bases 1-428)
Source: RNAcentral